GGACAGCUAUACCAGAGAGGCAAGGGUCAAGAAAAUGAUAGGGCCCGGUGGAACCCUCACCUCUUGGAGUCCAUGCAUUCCUGUUGUUGGAGUGGAGAAGAUGGUCAUUAUGUAUGAGGAUGUCCGAAUCCUGUAAACCCUGGGAGAGCUGAGGAAUGAUUUAAGGCAGCAGGACACUUUGGAGAGACCAGCAUUCUUCAUUCUGCCUAUCAUGAGUUCCAGUCAAAAAGGGGAGAAACAGGAGCUGCCAAAGUCACUGGAGCUAAGCAAAGGUCUAAAGCAGCUGUACCAGCACCAGUUGCUCUGUGAUGCCACGUUAGUGUGUGAAGGAAGGAAAUUCUCCUGCCAUAGAGUACUGCUAGCAGCUGUCAGUCCUUACUUUAAGGAUAUUUUCACAAGCUCCUGCAAAGAAUCCCAGGGUGGAGAAGUUGUGCUGCAGGAUAUGGCUCCUUCCAUCCUCCAAAG
This is a long non-coding RNA of Mauremys mutica (yellowpond turtle), 465 nucleotides long. RefSeq lists it as uncharacterized. The transcript is spliced from 4 exons. The record is from RefSeq and is a predicted model, not a curated record. NCBI's taxonomy places the organism in Eukaryota, Metazoa, Chordata, Testudines, Geoemydidae.